AUAUCAAUAAGCGGAGGAAAAGAAACUAACAAGGAUUCCCCUAGUAACUGCGAGUGAAGCGGGAUAAGCUCAAAUUUGAAAUCUGGCGGUUCCGCCGUCCGAGUUGUAUUCUGGAGAAGCGUCUUCCGCGCCGGACCGUGUACAAGUCCCUUGGAACAGGGCGUCGUAGAGGGUGAGAAUCCCGUCUUUGACACGGACCCCCGGUGCUAUGUGAUGCGCUCUCGAAGAGUCGAGUUGUUUGGGAAUGCAGCUCAAAAUGGGUGGUAAAUUCCAUCUAAAGCUAAAUAUUGGCGAGAGACCGAUAGCGCACAAGUA
RNAcentral lists this ribosomal RNA (315 nucleotides) under uncultured Agaricomycetes. RNAcentral's name for it is "partial large subunit ribosomal RNA". It matches the Rfam family "Eukaryotic large subunit ribosomal RNA", at positions 40 to 350 of the family's 3401-position model. The record is from RNAcentral. Lineage: Eukaryota; Fungi; Basidiomycota; Agaricomycetes.